CUACACGACCGUACCGCAAACCGACACUGGUGCGCGAGAUGAGUAUUCUAAGGCGCUUGAGAGAACUCAGGAGAAGGAACUCGGCAAAUUGACACCGUAACUUCGGAAGAAGGUGUGCCUUUAGUAGGUGAACCAUUUACUUGGGGAGCCCAAUGAGGCUGCAAAAAAUCGGUGGCUGCAACUGUUUAUUAAAAACACAGCACUCUGCUAAGACGAAAGUCGACGUAUAGGGUGUGACGCCUGCCCGGUGCUGGAAGAUUAAAUGAUGGGGUGCAAGCUCUUGAUUGAAGUCCCAGUAAACGGCGGCCGUAACAAUAACGGUCCUAAGGUAGCGAAAUUCCUUGUCGGGUAAGUUCCGACCUGCACGAAUGGCGUAAUGAUGGCCACACUGUCUCCUCCUGAGACUCAGCGAAGUUGAAAUGUUUGUGAUGAUGCAAUCUCCCCGCGGAAAGACGGAAAGACCCCAUGAACCUUUACUGUAGCUUUGUAUUGGACUUUGAACAGAUCUGUGUAGGAUAGGUGGGAGGCUUUGAAGUGUGGUCGCUAGAUCGCAUGGAGCCAACGUUGAAAUACCACCCUGGUGUGUUUGAGGUUCUAACCUAGGUCCAUUAUCUGGAUCGGGGACAGUGCAUGGUAGGCAGUUUGACUGGGGCGGUCUCCUCCCAAAGUGUAACGGAGGAGUUCGAAGGUACGCUAGGUACGGUCGGACAUCGUGCUAAUAGUGCAAUGGCAUAAGCGUGCUUAACUGCGAGACUGACAAGUCGAGCAGAUGCGAAAGCAGGACAUAGUGAUCCGGUGGUUCUGUAUGGAAGGGCCAUCGCUCAACGGAUAAAAGGUACUCUGGGGAUAACAGGCUGAUACCGCCCAAGAGUUCAUAUCGACGGCGGUGUUUGGCACCUCGAUGUCGGCUCAUCUCAUCCUGGGGCUGUAGCCGGUCCCAAGGGUAUGGCUGUUCGCCAUUUAAAGAGGUACGUGAGCUGGGUUUAAAACGUCGUGAGACAGUUUGGUCCCUAUCUUCCGUGGGCGCUGCAGAUUUGAGGAAGCCUGCUCCUAGUACGAGAGGACCGGAGUGGACGAACCUCUGGUGUAUCGGUUGUCACGCCAGUGGCAUUGCCGAGUAGCUAAGUUCGGAAGAGAUAACCGCUGAAAGCAUCUAAGCGGGAAACUCGUUUCAAGAUUAGAUCUGCCGGGGCCUUGAGCCCCCUAAAGAGUCGUUCAAGACCAGGACGUUGAUAGGUCAGGUGUGGAAGUGAAAAG
Molecule: ribosomal RNA, 1257 nt
Filed under: metagenome
Description: bacterial LSU rRNA
Rfam family: Bacterial large subunit ribosomal RNA
Source: RNAcentral